Bombyx mori (domestic silkworm) is the source of this 96-nucleotide non-coding RNA. RefSeq annotates it as microRNA mir-307. The transcript has a single exon. The record is from RefSeq and is marked provisional. Lineage: Eukaryota; Metazoa; Arthropoda; Insecta; Lepidoptera; Bombycidae.
AGCUCGUUCCCGGUUACUCACUCAACCUGGGUGUGAUGUGUGCACUCGUUGCUCGGCCCAUCACAACCUCCUUGAGUGAGCGAUCGUCUAUGAGCC